This 165-nucleotide ribosomal RNA is filed under the name uncultured bacterium. RNAcentral describes it as "partial 16S rRNA". It matches the Rfam family "Bacterial small subunit ribosomal RNA", at positions 355 to 511 of the family's 1533-position model. The record is from RNAcentral.
UAGGGAAUCUUCCACAAUGGGCGCAAGCCUGAUGGAGCAACACCGCGUGAGUGAAGAAGGGUUUCGGCUCGUAAAGCUCUGUUGUUAAAGAAGAACACGUAUGAGAGUAACUGUUCAUACGUUGACGGUAUUUUAACCAGAAAGUCACGGCUAACUACGUGCCAG